GUGAACGCUGGCGGUAGGCCUAACACAUGCAAGUCGAACGGCAGCACAGUAAGAGCUUGCUCUUACGGGUGGCGAGUGGCGGACGGGUGAGGAAUACAUCGGAAUCUACUUUUUCGUGGGGGAUAACGUAGGGAAACUUACGCUAAUACCGCAUACGACCUACGGGUGAAAGCAGGGGAUCUUCGGACCUUGCGCGAUUGAAUGAGCCGAUGUCGGAUUAGCUAGUUGGCGGGGUAAAGGCCCACCAAGGCGACGAUCCGUAGCUGGUCUGAGAGGAUGAUCAACCACACUGGAACUGAGACACGGUCCAGACUCCUACGGGAGGCAGCAGUGGGGAAUAUUGGACAAUGGGCGCAAGCCUGAUCCAGCCAUACCGCGUGGGUGAAGAAGGCCUUCGGGUUGUAAAGCCCUUUUGUUGGGAAAGAAAAGCAGCAGGUUAAUACCCCGCUGUUCUGACGGUACCCAAAGAAUAAGCACCGGCUAACUUCGUG
Molecule: ribosomal RNA, 491 nt
Filed under: uncultured bacterium
Lineage: Bacteria
Description: partial 16S ribosomal RNA
Rfam family: Bacterial small subunit ribosomal RNA
Source: RNAcentral